UGUUGGCUUAGGGAUUGAAGCGACAUCCUUUUUUUGCUUGCCGAGCUAAGCGAAGGUAAACUGAAAAAGAUAUAGCGAAUAAGCCCGACCCCGA
RNAcentral lists this small RNA (94 nucleotides) under Arenibacter echinorum. Its description in RNAcentral is "Flavo-1 RNA". It matches the Rfam family "Flavo-1 RNA". Lineage: Bacteria; Pseudomonadati; Bacteroidota; Flavobacteriia; Flavobacteriales; Flavobacteriaceae. The record is from RNAcentral.